ACUUUAAAAUAAGGAAGCUUGAGGAAAAGUGACUAAAGGGAUUUAACAAUCUGUUGUGUUGUGUGCAGCUUUCUUUGGAGAGUAAUGAUUUACUUUUGUUGAAAUAAAAAUAUCAAUUACCAAUAUUUCCACGGUGAAAAAGUAGACAAAGAAUCUGAUAAUUCUUCAAGUUUUUAUUGUAUCUUUUUGUAUGUUUUCUUUCAAAACUCAUUUUUGUUUACUGGCCAGAAUUUUACCUCCUGUUGAUGCUGCACAACUGUUGCAAAAAAUUCAGUCGUAUCACACGACUGAGAGAGAAUUCGAGUUCUGGCAAGUUGAGCAAGCUGCUGGAGACAUGUCACAGGGAAGUUUGGGACAUAAGACCUCAGGCACAAGCCACCUGGGAACAAGGACCUCCCCCCCACCUCCACCACAAAAGUGAAGCCACCUUCCUUUCUCUCCAUGGCCUCAGUCUCCUCAUCUGGUCAUGGUCCUCAUUCUAAUGGUCUUUCUGGGCCAUGGGGUGCAGAGGACGGUCCCCCAUGUGUCCACAGGCUUGGACUGGCCCAGAGGUUGGGACUGGCAGGCUAAGUAGAUCUGGAGACGACAGGAUGCUCCCCUGCUGCAAGGAGUCCAUACCUUUCCUGGAGAUGCUUGUUUGCCUGGCUGUGCUUGGGACAGGAAGACACUGAGACAAAUGGAAGAGUGUUUCCUUCUGGUCUACAAAGCAGGUAGGGCGAGGCUUGGAACAACUGUCCAAAUUCAGAACUUGCUUCAGAAAGGGGAAAAAUUUGAGGGAGACGUGAAUACUGGACUUACUGAUGCUGGGGAAAAUUUUAUAAUGAGUGGAAAAUUUAGCUCUUGACUAGACCAUGGAAGUAGAACAUAAAACUGUACUGACCACUCUGAAGCAAGAGUACUGAAUUUCACUUUCAAAUCCAAGAUGGCGGUUAGAGCUAAUGGUUAGGGUGGGAGAAGGAUUUACUCCAAGGAGCUCACCCCUUUGGGUCAGGAAGCACGAUGAAUAUGAAUUUCAGGGAAUAACAUUGCAGAGAAACGAAAUGUCUUUCAAACAAUCAUAAUGCAUAUGCAAAUGACAUUAAAACUAAAUCGCCACUGUAUUUGAUGUUGCUAUCCACUGAGUGCUGUUGAUACAAAACAUUUCUCCACUCAGUUUAAGUGAAUGGGGGCAGGGAACAGGCUUUCUCUAUUAGAUGUGUCUUUGUGCUCGUUCGAAAUGUUUUGAGUACUUUGACCUUUACAAAAAAGGAAAAGCUGCCAGUAAAUGCCUUUGUGUUCCUACUAAUUUUGAUCCUGCUAAUUUCUGCCUUGUACAAAGAAAUAAGAGAUUUAAAAAAAAAAAAAGCUUGUUAUGAGCCACUAAAUUGAUUUGAUGCCUCAUUAAAGGGUAGCAAACUGCAUCUUGAAAAAUAAUUAGGCAAUUUUAUAUUCAUCUAUGUAAGAAUUGAUGAGAAGUAUAAAUAAAAUUAGAGGCAGUGAAAAUGACA
This 1487-nucleotide long non-coding RNA is filed under the name Sus scrofa (pig). Its description in RNAcentral is "lncRNA (ENSSSCG00055011213.1)". The record is from RNAcentral. Lineage: Eukaryota; Metazoa; Chordata; Mammalia; Artiodactyla; Suidae.